This 253-nucleotide ribosomal RNA is filed under the name uncultured bacterium. RNAcentral's name for it is "partial 16S ribosomal RNA". It matches the Rfam family "Bacterial small subunit ribosomal RNA", at positions 524 to 776 of the family's 1533-position model. The record is from RNAcentral.
UACGUAGGGGGCAAGCGUUGUCCGGAAUCAUUGGGCGUAAAGAGCGUGUAGGCGGUCCGGUAAGUCGGCUGUGAAAGUCCAGGGCUCAACCCUGGGAUGCCGGUCGAUACUGCCGGACUAGAGUUCGGAAGAGGCGAGUGGAAUUCCCGGUGUAGAGGUGAAAUUCGUAGAUAUCUGGAGGAACACCGGAGGCGAAAGCGGCCAUCUGGCGAGACAUUGACGCUAAGGUGCGAAAGCGCGGGGAUCAAACAGG